This 804-nucleotide long non-coding RNA is filed under the name Gossypium barbadense (sea-island cotton). RNAcentral describes it as "long non-coding RNA (GBAR_LNC008939)". The record is from RNAcentral. Lineage: Eukaryota; Viridiplantae; Streptophyta; Magnoliopsida; Malvales; Malvaceae.
AUAAAUAAACAAAGGAAUGUUUAUUACAGUCCAUUUACAGUACAUGGCCCAUUAACCCGUAGGCCCAAAUCAGUACCUAAAAUACUACCCCAUAGCCCGUUACAGCAACCCGAUUACACCCGUGACCCAAAGAACCUAAACCCAAUACAUAAAUUAAGUCGGUCCAAACAAAUCAGACCCAAUAAGCUUUGUGGCCCGAUGGUUCAAAUCUGUUUUCAGAUUUGGGAACCCUAGGGUUUUCAACUGCCUUUUUGCGCCGCAGCUCUCAUGAAGCCUCAGCCUUCACCGUCGCCAUCUCCGUGCAUCACGCGCGCGCUCACCACCGGAUCUCUCGGGGUUUACCUGCAAGAAGAGAAAGAAAUGACAGACAUGGCAAGAAAUCGGGGAUAAUUUGCUAUACCAAAUUUGUACACUAAAAUAGAGGCUAUAAAAGCCCUUUUGAAUCUGUAAAACGGACAUACACAUAGACAAAAAAGAAAACUCGCAUAUUCAAGCAAUAAACUUAUAGUUUCGUUUUUUUUAAGGUAUUUUUUAGUUCUUACAUCAUUCUGUUCUCUAUUUCUUGUUUUGACAUAUAUAUUAACCCCUUUUUUAGUUUACGAAUGACGAAAAUAAAAAGAGAUCCUUUACCUUGCUAUUUUUUGCCUGAAAUCGAGAUUUUUGACCACCAACGGCAGCGUGUGGCGGUGUGAGAGGUGGCGCAUGGGCGCGUGUAUACCCGAUGACCGGAGCUUGGCCUGAAGGAGGCCAAAGCCUGGAGGGCCUUUUCUCUCCCCUUUCUUAGAGAAUUUUUUUUAGUUUCUU